AAAUUGAAGAGUUUGAUCAUGGCUCAGAUUGAACGCUGGCGGCAGGCCUAACACAUGCAAGUCGAACGGUAACAGGAAGCAGCUUGCUGCUUUGCUGACGAGUGGCGGACGGGUGAGUAAUGUCUGGGAAACUGCCUGAUGGAGGGGGAUAACUACUGGAAACGGUGGCUAAUACCGCAUAACGUCGCAAGACCAAAGAGGGGGACCUUCGGGCCUCUUGCCAUCAGAUGUGCCCAGAUGGGAUUAGCUGGUUGGUGAGGUAACGGCUCACCAAGGCGACGAUCCCUAGCUGGUCUGAGAGGAUGACCAGCCACACUGGAACUGAGACACGGUCCAGACUC
Molecule: ribosomal RNA, 341 nt
Filed under: Salmonella enterica
Lineage: Bacteria; Pseudomonadati; Pseudomonadota; Gammaproteobacteria; Enterobacterales; Enterobacteriaceae
Also listed under: 1 other name
Description: bacterial SSU rRNA
Rfam family: Bacterial small subunit ribosomal RNA
Source: RNAcentral